Non-coding RNA from Paramuricea clavata, 208 nucleotides. Lineage: Eukaryota; Metazoa; Cnidaria; Anthozoa; Malacalcyonacea; Plexauridae. The record is from the annotation of a GenBank genome assembly.
CUUCGUCACUGUUCGGCAAAUCGCGAAAUCGGCAUUUAGCCAAUUAUAAAAGUGAAGAACGAAGGCGAGAGAUAAAGCGAUAAAUUGUGGAUUUAAAAUGCCAAAAUGUGGCCUUAUGCCAAAACCACCAUGGUCUAAGUAUUACUAGUAAUAGUAUUUGUUUUUUAUUUGUCGAAAAUCGACGGGAGGCUGAAAUGUGAAACCCAUG